RNAcentral lists this long non-coding RNA (486 nucleotides) under Daucus carota (carrot). RNAcentral's name for it is "long non-coding RNA (DCAR_LNC003135)". The record is from RNAcentral. Lineage: Eukaryota; Viridiplantae; Streptophyta; Magnoliopsida; Apiales; Apiaceae.
UCUUGAAUAUUUUGAUAUUAUUUGUCCAUCUCUAGCCAAUACAAAGUAGCAAACUAAAUCCCAAAAUUACCCUCACUUAUUUGUCAUUUCAAUGUUGAAUUCUCUUUUUAUUGCGAGUAAAUGCAAAAAAAAUACUCCCUCCGUCCCAUCUAAUUCUUAUCAUUAUGGGACGGGGGCUCGGCACGCACUUUAAGACUCUUAAAGAGUAUAAUUCUAUUAUUUUUUAUUUUUUUUUCUUCUGAAUAAAAAUUUAACAUUUAUAUUUUUAUACAGAAAAAGAAAAUUUUAAAAAAGAGUUAUGAAAUUAUAUUUUAUAUGUGGCUUCAAAUGCGUGCCGAAUAUUGAAAAAGAAAUGCAAAGAAAUGGAUGGGACAGAGGGAGUAUGCAACUUGGGAAAAAGAUGACAUCUAAAGUUUCAAUGUGUGCCAAUUUUAUGGUGAAUGGCGUAUUAUAGGACACCGGUCUCUUUUGGUGAAAUCUUCCCAC